CGCCACCGCCACCGCCGCCGCCUGUCGCCGAGCCUGGCAUCUCCGAGCCCCCGCGCGGGGGGGCUGCCGCCCAGCGCUGAUUGACAGCCCGCCUCGCCAAUGCCUGGAGGGAGAAAGGAGGACCUGCUGGAGCUGGUGAAGGCACUGGUACCGCAGAAUGAUGCCCACAAGAUCUCCAAGACUCAGAGUGACCACAGGAUAUCCCAGAGGAGUUCUGGUGAGGAUCCAGUGAGAAUGGUGUACCAGAAGCAGAGGCCUUGAUUCAGACCAGUGACUCAUCGCAAUGAACAGUUGCCAGUCAAGCUGAUGGGACAAAGAGGUUACUAUAUGACACACUGAAGCCUCCAAUGCCGUCAGGACGGAUGAAGAGGUGUUGGAGAGGCAGGAAAGAAGAAGCAACGAGAUUUUCCUGUUGUGGAGGAUCUGAACGGAAGGAGAGACAGUUCAUUUCCACCAGCAGCUGUGGAUCCUUUUAAAAUGUACCCGUUCUUCUGCUGGGUGCAGUGAUUCCAGCACUGGAGAGGCACAGGCAGGCAGAUCUCCGAGAGUUCAAUGCCAGUCUGGUCUACAGAUGGAGUUCCAGGACAACCGGAACUGCAUAGUAAGACCUGUAGUGAGACCCUGUCUCAAGGACAAAACAAAACAAACAACCCAUACAUAUAAUCAGCUUCCAUUCUCCCCUCCAUUGUCUUCCCUUCUCCAGGAUGAAAUGCAGCCUUGCAGUUGCUGACUUAGGCUCUUUAUCAUCUGCGGCCACCCCCGCCCCUGUGAAGACUAGAGCUUGUCUGGUGCCGAACUGACAUGCACGCCCUGAGAUGUUAUGAGCAGCCUGCUCGACGUUCCCUCUGCCUGUUCCGCUCUUGGUGUCCAUUCCUUCUGUUGGAGUCUGUCUGUCCCUUGCUAGUCCGCAUGGCCCCAGAGGUUGUCAGCUGCAUACAGAAUAUCUGUUUCUUAUCAGAUUGCCAAGUGUCGGCAUUGACCCCCAUUGUCUAAUUGGGUCUUGAUGAUGGACUGUCUCAUCCAUGAACAUGCUCGAUACUACAAUGUGAGUAUCAUUUCCCUUGAAGCUAAGAGGACCCAAGAACAAAGAGUUGAAGAGAUUUCUCCACACCCACAGCAAAUUUGAAGAGUUUAACUGAAAAUUCUUCUAUUAAGUAACCAGUAUCCCUUGUGAAGUUUUGUAAAUUUAACCUUUUAGUCUCUUAUUCUUUACUUGCCUUCAGUUCUUAAAGAAAAAUCCCCCUACCCAGAGAGCAGAAAUCACCAUGGACAACAUUAUCACAUGUUUGAGAUAUGUAAGAAAACCAAAUGGGAUGUUGAAGCCCAGGAGGGAAAGAAAAAGGUAGUUUGGUUUAGAAGAUAGCCGAGUGACAAAAUGUGUGUGAUGCAGUUCUUAAGUUACUACAGCGAGAUCAGUUUCCAUUCUGUCUCUGCUAGCCUUCUCCCCUGCCUAAGGACUGCAUUGUAAUUGAAUGACCAGGUCAUACUCAGUCUUAGUGUUUAAGCCAAAGUUCAAUCUCACAGGAACAGAGGAGUGUGGCUUUCCAUGGAGAGGAUCCUAAAGUGAAAUGGUGAAAUGCAGUCCUAGACACUGGCAACUUCAGCUGGUGUUGACGUCACAGGUUGCAUGAAGAUUAAAAGAGACUUAGGAGUCAGUGAGAUUGCUCAGUGGGUGAAGAUGCUAAACGUGAUGACCCAAGUUCAGCCUCCAGGUCCCAUGUGACGGAAGGAGUGAAGCGACUCUUUCGAGUUGUCCUCACACACUAAAAUAAAUACAUAUUUUUU
This is a long non-coding RNA of Mesocricetus auratus (golden hamster), 1785 nucleotides long. RefSeq lists it as uncharacterized. The record is from RefSeq and is a predicted model, not a curated record. Lineage: Eukaryota; Metazoa; Chordata; Mammalia; Rodentia; Cricetidae. The transcript is spliced from 4 exons.